AACGAACGCUGGCGGCAGGCCUAACACAUGCAAGUCGAACGCUGUAGCAAUACAGAGUGGCAGACGGGUGAGUAACGCGUGGGAACCUUCCCAAUGGUGCGGAAUAGCCCAGGGAAACUUGGGGUAAUACCGCAUAAGCCCUUAGGGGGAAAGAUUUAUCGCCAUUGGAUGGGCCCGCGUCGGAUUAGCUAGUUGGUGAGGUAAUGGCUCACCAAGGCAACGAUCCGUAGCUGGUUUGAGAGAAUGACCAGCCACACUGGGACUGAGACACGGCCCAGACUCCUACGGGAGGCAGCAGUGGGGAAUCUUGGACAAUGGGCGCAAGCCUGAUCCAGCCAUGCCGCGUGAGUGACGAAGGCCUUAGGGUUGUAAAGCUCUUUUGCCGGGGACGAUAAUGACGGUACCCGGAGAAUAAGUCCCGGCUAACUUCGUGCCAGCCGCCGCCGUAACAC
Molecule: ribosomal RNA, 452 nt
Filed under: uncultured bacterium
Lineage: Bacteria
Description: bacterial SSU rRNA
Rfam family: Bacterial small subunit ribosomal RNA
Source: RNAcentral